ACAGAGGGUGCGAGCGUUGUCCGGAAUCACUGGGCGUAAAGGGCGCGUAGGCGGUCUGGUAAGCGUGUGGUGAAAGCUCGGGGCUCAACCCCGAGUCGGCCGUGCGAACUGCUGGACUGGAGCACUGUAGAGGCAGAUGGAAUUCCGGGUGUAGCGGUGGAAUGCGUAGAGAUCCGGAAGAACACCGGUGGCGAAGGCGGUCUGCUGGGCAGUGGCUGACGCUGAGGCGCGACAGCGUGGGGAGCAAACAGGA
RNAcentral lists this ribosomal RNA (253 nucleotides) under uncultured prokaryote. RNAcentral describes it as "partial 16S ribosomal RNA". It matches the Rfam family "Bacterial small subunit ribosomal RNA", at positions 525 to 777 of the family's 1533-position model. The record is from RNAcentral.